UACGAAGGGGGCUAGCGUUGCUCGGAAUCACUGGGCGUAAAGGGUGCGUAGGCGGGUCUUUAAGUCAGGGGUGAAAUCCUGGAGCUCAACUCCAGAACUGCCUUUGAUACUGAGGAUCUUGAGUACGGGAGAGGUGAGUGGAACUGCGAGUGUAGAGGUGAAAUUCGUAGAUAUUCGCAAGAACACCAGUGGCGAAGGCAGCUCGCUGGGACGUUACCGACGCUGAGACGCGAAAGCGUGGGGAGCAAACAGG
Molecule: ribosomal RNA, 253 nt
Filed under: uncultured bacterium
Lineage: Bacteria
Description: partial 16S ribosomal RNA
Rfam family: Bacterial small subunit ribosomal RNA
Source: RNAcentral